This 455-nucleotide ribosomal RNA is filed under the name uncultured Pseudomonas sp. Its description in RNAcentral is "bacterial SSU rRNA". It matches the Rfam family "Bacterial small subunit ribosomal RNA", at positions 560 to 1013 of the family's 1533-position model. Lineage: Bacteria; Pseudomonadati; Pseudomonadota; Gammaproteobacteria; Pseudomonadales; Pseudomonadaceae. The record is from RNAcentral.
GUAAAGCGUGCGUAGGUGGUCGUUUAAGUCCGUUGUGAAAGCCCUGGGCUCAACCUGGGAACUGCAGUGGAUACUGGGCGACUAGAGUGUGGUAGAGGGUAGCGGAAUUCCUGGUGUAGCAGUGAAAUGCGUAGAGAUCAGGAGGAACAUCCAUGGCGAAGGCAGCUACCUGGACCAACACUGACACUGAGGCACGAAAGCGUGGGGAGCAAACAGGAUUAGAUACCCUGGUAGUCCACGCCCUAAACGAUGCGAACUGGAUGUUGGGUGCAAUUUGGCACGCAGUAUCGAAGCUAACGCGUUAAGUUCGCCGCCUGGGGAGUACGGUCGCAAGACUGAAACUCAAAGGAAUUGACGGGGGCCCGCACAAGCGGUGGAGUAUGUGGUUUAAUUCGAUGCAACGCGAAGAACCUUACCUGGCCUUGACAUGUCGAGAACUUUCCAGAGAUGGAUUG